AGGACGAACGCUGGCGGCGUGCUUAACACAUGCAAGUCGAGCGGAAAGGCCCUUCGGGGUACUCGAGCGGCGAACGGGUGAGUAACACGUGAGUAAUCUGCCCCUAGCUCUGGGAUAGCUCCGGGAAACCGGAUUAAUACCAGAUACAACCACUUUAGACAUCUCUUGUGGUGGAAAGAUUUCGGCUAGGGAUGAACUCGCGGCCUAUCAGCUUGUUGGUGAGGUAACGGCUCACCAAGGCGACGACGGGUA
Molecule: ribosomal RNA, 252 nt
Filed under: uncultured bacterium
Lineage: Bacteria
Description: partial small subunit ribosomal RNA
Rfam family: Bacterial small subunit ribosomal RNA
Source: RNAcentral